AUACGAAUGUCCCAAGCGUUAUUCGGAAUCACUGGGCGUAAAGAGUACGUAGGCGGUUUGGUAAGUCAGGUGUGAAAUCCCGGAGCUCAACUCCGGAACUGCAUCCGAUACUGCCAGACUUGAGUAAUGGAGAGGCAGGUGGAAUUCUCGGUGUAGCAGUGAAAUGCGUGGAUAUCGAGAGGAAGACCAAUGGCGAAGGCAGCCUGCUGGACAUUUACUGACGCUCAGGUACGAAGGCCAGGGGGGCGAAAGGGAUUAGAAACCCGAGUAGUCC
Molecule: ribosomal RNA, 274 nt
Filed under: uncultured bacterium
Lineage: Bacteria
Description: partial 16S ribosomal RNA
Rfam family: Bacterial small subunit ribosomal RNA
Source: RNAcentral